UAGUCUGGUGCCAGCAGCCGCGGUAAUUCCAGCUCCAAUAGCGUAUAUUUAAGUUGUUGCAGUUAAAAAGCUCGUAGUUGGAUUUCGGGUAGGGGGCGCCGGUCCGCUUCGGUGUGCACUGGCGGCCCAUACCUUCUUGUCGGGGAUGCGCUCUGGUAUUGGUUUAUCGGACGCAGAGUCGGCGCUGUUACUUUGAAAAAAUUAGAGUGUUCAAAGCAGGCUUUCGCUUGAAUACAUUAGCAUGGAAUAACAUGAUAGGACUCCGGUUCCAUUGUGUUGGUCUUCGGGACUGGAGUAAUGAUUAAGAGGGACAGUUGGGGGCAUUCGUAUUUCAUUGUCAGAGGUGAAAUUCUUGGAUUUAUGAAAGACGAACUUCUGCGAAAGCAUUUGCCAAGGAUGUUUUCAUUAAUCAAGAACGAAAGUUGGGGGCUCGAAGAUGAUUAGAUACCAUCGUAGUCUCAACCAUAAACGAUGCCGACUAGGGAUUGGCGGAUGUUACUUGAUGACUUCGCCAGCACCUUGUGAGAAAUCAAAGUCUUUGGGUUCCGGGGGGAGUAUGGUCGCAAGGCUGAAACUUAAAGGAAUUGACGGAAGGGCACUACCAGGAGUGGAGCCUGCGGCUUAAUUUGACUCAACACGGGGAAACUUACCAGGUCCAGACACAGUGAUGAUUGACAGAUUGAGAGCUCUUUCUUGAUUCUGUGGGUGGUGGUGCAUGGCCGUUCUU
This 727-nucleotide ribosomal RNA is filed under the name uncultured eukaryote. RNAcentral describes it as "SSU rRNA". It matches the Rfam family "Eukaryotic small subunit ribosomal RNA", at positions 557 to 1295 of the family's 1831-position model. The record is from RNAcentral.